This 468-nucleotide ribosomal RNA is filed under the name uncultured bacterium. RNAcentral describes it as "partial 16S ribosomal RNA". It matches the Rfam family "Bacterial small subunit ribosomal RNA", at positions 28 to 507 of the family's 1533-position model. The record is from RNAcentral.
GACGAACGCUGGCGGCGUGCUUAACACAUGCAAGUCGAACGGAAAGGCCCUGCUUUUGUGGGGUGCUCGAGUGGCGAACGGGUGAGUAACACGUGAGUAACCUGCCCUUGACUUUGGGAUAAAUUCAGGAAACUGGGGCUAAUACCGGAUAGGAGCUCCUGCUGCAUGGUGGGGGUUGGAAAGUUUCGGCGGUUGGGGAUGGACUCGCGGCUUAUCAGCUUGUUGGUGGGGUAGUGGCUUACCAAGGUUUUGACGGGUAGCCGGCCUGAGAGGGUGACCGGCCACAUUGGGACUGAGAUACGGCCCAGACUCCUACGGGAGGCAGCAGUGGGGAAUAUUGCACAAUGGGCGGAAGCCUGAUGCAGCAACGCCGCGUGCGGGAUGACGGCCUUCGGGUUGUAAACCGCUUUCGCCUGUGACGAAGCGUGAGUGACGGUAAUGGGUAAAGAAGCACCGGCUAACUACGUG